This 254-nucleotide ribosomal RNA is filed under the name uncultured bacterium. Its description in RNAcentral is "partial 16S ribosomal RNA". It matches the Rfam family "Bacterial small subunit ribosomal RNA", at positions 524 to 777 of the family's 1533-position model. The record is from RNAcentral.
CACGUAGGGCGCGAGCGUUGUCCGGAAUUAUUGGGCGUAAAGAGCUCGUAGGCGGCCUGUUGCGUCCGCUGUGAAAGCCCGGGGCUUAACCCCGGGUCGGCAGUGGAUACGGGCAGGCUAGAGGUAGGUAGGGGAGAAUGGAAUUCCCGGUGUAGCGGUGAAAUGCGCAGAUAUCGGGAGGAACACCAAUGGCGAGGGCAGCUUGCUGGGACGGUACUGACGCUGAGGCGCGAAAGCUAGGGGAGCAAACGGGG